Thalassophryne amazonica is the source of this 217-nucleotide small nucleolar RNA. RefSeq annotates it as small nucleolar RNA U3. NCBI's taxonomy places the organism in Eukaryota, Metazoa, Chordata, Actinopteri, Batrachoidiformes, Batrachoididae. The record is from RefSeq and is a predicted model, not a curated record. The transcript has a single exon.
AAGACUAUACUUUCAGGCAUCAUUUCUAUAGAUUCUGAGUUGAGAAAUGUGUUUCUAAAGUGUUCGGUCUCGCCAACCACAAUGAAGAGUCUUCAUACUUCUUCCUGAGUGACAAGUGGAUAGAAAGAAAUGAUUUAUUUCAUCUGCUUUCUAUCAUUGAUGACUGUUCAUUUCCUCUCCUAGGGGGUGAUGAGGGGAGGAGUAUGGUCAGAGUGAU